GCAAGGAUGUAAACCUGGUUUCAUUGCUUAUAGCCUUCCAGGAUGUCCUAGAGAAUAGGAUCUUUGCAUAUGGGGAUAUAUCAGUAGUGCUAAGGGCAAGAGACCCGAGGCUGAACAAAAAAUUGACCAUCCCUGAAUUCGUACUAGGUUUUGGGAUCUAUAGGGAUGUUUACUGCUCAGUAUACCCGGGGAAAAGAGCAGAGCUGGAUGCAUACAUGCACAAGAUGGUGGACCUGGGGCACAAAUAUGGUGGUACCGCUUUUUACGAUUACCACUGUUCCUUUUCUGCAAAAGUGGCUGCGGCUCUGACUCAAUUUAAGCAUUAAUUGGAGCAAGUUGGACGCUGAGUUAUUCUGCAGGCCUCCAGCUUGUGCAGUUUGUGCAUCUACAGCACACCACACAAAUUUCUGCCCAAACACAGCAGAAAUUGAACAAAAUCAAACUACCUCUAACUUUCCAAAAUCUGCUAGGGGAUUAAAAGACAAACUGGGUAGGGAUAUUGUAUUUCUAGGUAAAUCCCAGGUUUGCAACAACUUUAAUGCGGGGAAUUGUGGUUUCAGCUCUUGCAAGCUGAUGCAUGUAUGUUCCCACUGUUUCAGGGCCCAUGCUAAGACUAUGUGCCCGAAUAAAGCGUUCCCCAAACCGUAUCACACGUGUGUGAACAUCACAUUAUUGACCUCGCUAUUACAGCUACACCCAUCACUCCAUUUCAUUGACUAUACUAUCACAGGAAUGACUGAGGGAUUUCACACUGGGUUGGUCCAUUUACCCUCUGGAACACUGGGAUGCGACAACCUACAAUCCAC
Pelobates cultripes (western spadefoot toad) is the source of this 806-nucleotide non-coding RNA. Lineage: Eukaryota; Metazoa; Chordata; Amphibia; Anura; Pelobatidae. The record is from the annotation of a GenBank genome assembly.